Molecule: long non-coding RNA, 615 nt
Organism: Astatotilapia calliptera (eastern happy)
Lineage: Eukaryota; Metazoa; Chordata; Actinopteri; Cichliformes; Cichlidae
Source: Ensembl
AGGAUACAUGAGCCUAUUUUGCUGGGCUGUGGAGGUACAUCACACCAAAAAAGGCUUGGUGACCACUGAUUGUUCUGUAGAGUGUUUCUCUGUGUAUUGUGCCCUCUAGUGGCUGCCUGGUGCUGUGUCUGUGCCUGUCUGUGGUCACCCUGCUGUUACAGAGCCUGUGGGUGCCACUGGAGAUGACCAGAGAUGAUCCUGCAGGGAGCUCACCCGAGGAUCUGGGUCAGCGUGGGCUUAGCUUUCGUAACCUGGCUCUUCGCUUGGAGGCUUUGAAUACUCAGGUACAGAGGCUGAGCAGAGAGAAAGAUGGCUCCAAGCUGAUCAGAAAUGAUCUCACUUUGCUGCUGCAAAGCUUCAGACAGGACCAGCAAGGUUUGGCUCGUUUAGUAGAAAGAGAGCUGAAAAGAGUAUCGCAGAGGCUUGAUCAGCUCAGCCGUCACCCCCAACACCACCAUCAGGCUGAAGCUCCAACACCACUUGUUAGCCGUAGAUCACACACAGAUAAUGCUUUUUGUUUCAGACACAUCUCCUCAUUAGCCAAUCAUCACCUACACACUUCAAAAGCUGUCUGCCAAUUUAGGAGGGUCCAACGAGAAGUGUCAAGUGCCAGUG